Molecule: ribosomal RNA, 352 nt
Filed under: uncultured bacterium
Lineage: Bacteria
Description: bacterial SSU rRNA
Rfam family: Bacterial small subunit ribosomal RNA
Source: RNAcentral
GCCCCAAAGUAAGGGAUAAGCCACCGAAAGUGGUCUAAUACCUUAUAGUAUCCAUCUCGUAUGGAUUAAAGCUUUAUGCGCUUUGGGAGGGGCCUGCGUUUGAUUAGCUAGUUGGUGAGGUAAAAGCUCACCAAGGCGACGAUCAAUAGCUGGUUUGAGAGGAUGACCAGCCACACCGGGACUGAGAUACGGCCCAGACUCCUACGGGAGGCAGCAGUAAGGAAUCUUCCACAAUGGGGGCAACCCUGACGGAGCAAUACCGCGUGCAGGAUGAAGCGUUUCGGCGUGUAAACUGCUUUUAUCACCGAAGAUUAUGACUGUAGGUGAAGAAUAAGGACCGGCUAACUACGUG